Lolium perenne is the source of this 3380-nucleotide RNA transcript. It is a transcript of the gene named zinc finger CCCH domain-containing protein 36, with no coding region annotated. Lineage: Eukaryota; Viridiplantae; Streptophyta; Magnoliopsida; Poales; Poaceae. The record is from RefSeq and is a predicted model, not a curated record.
UAACGGACACCCAAGCGGCGCAGGCGGCGCCGCGGCAGGCAGGCCCCCAUAUAGAGGCGACUUGCUGCCGUGGCGAUCCAAGUGCGAGACAGAGCAGACAGGCGAGGGCCAAGUAACUGAAGCGGCCGGCAAGGUUUUGCCCCCAAUCCCUCAUCCCCACCCACGCACAUCGCCGCCGCCACUCCCUCCCUCCACCAAACCCCUGCCGCCGUCGCCACAGCAGCGUAGCCUCCGGAUGGCGAGCGCCUCCGGCCCCGUCGGCGGGUUGCAGAAGAAGGAGAUCGCGGAUGCGGAGAUGGAGCCGCCGGAGGAGGCGGCGGGGCGGCCGGUGGGGCUGAAGAGGGCUAGGAGCGCGGCAAUCGGCAACGGCUCUUGCGGUUUUAUUGGAGUGACUACUGCUGAGAAGAAACCAACACUGCAGCCUCAUAACAAUGUCAAAUUUCUGAAGAAAGCUGCCAAUGGCAAUCUUCUACGUCCUGAUAUUGAAGCUACUUCUAAAACAGGAGGUCUUUAUCUGCAUGAUACGCAUGGAUCACAGAAACUGCCAGAUUCCAAUGCUUUGAGAUUUAGUAGCUCAUCUCCUGUUGGAGACCUGAGGAGCAAAACCAAAACCCCUAUAUGUACCUUUUACGCUCAAGGCCAUUGCAAGAGAGGAAAGAAGUGCGCUUUUCGUCAUGAAAGAGAGGGUCCUGGUUUUGGUAACCUGCGGAGUGAAGAAGAAAAGGCUGGUUCACUUGCACCAGUUGGUACUGGAAAACAUAGAGGGUCUGAAGAAGGAUCUGAAGCACAAUGUUUAUCCAAUUUGAAAGAUCCACACUUCGAGAACUUUGCUGCUUCGUCGAAACAUGGGCUAUAUAGGACCCUCAUUCAGUCUUAUGGCGAAGAUCAUAGGGUGGUGGCACAUAACUCGCCGACCCCCAAGGUUUCAGAGGAGAGUUCUUGCAGAACUGAUGAUUUAUGGACUGCAAAGCCUACCCCUCCUGUAAAUGAGCUGGUGCAGAUCCCAAUAGUUCAAGAGAAGAAUCAUGAACCUUACUUCAUGGGACGCCAUGCUAGUUUGCCUUCUGAUAGCUACUUGGAUGGUAGGGGAACCUUACCCAGAUUGCAUUUAGAUGGAGGAAAGCUGCUGUCAGAUGCUGCCAAAGCAAGCAGCCUAAGUGAUUCUCAUAUAUCAGGACCUUACCUUGAAGUGCACCCGGUACAUCCUGAUUAUCGGUAUCGACCGUUUGACUAUCUCCAAAGGUCAAGCCUUGCCUCAUACAGUUCAAAUAGUACAACAGGGUUCAGAAAUCCGGUCCACAAUAGCUCUGAUUAUUCCUUGGGUAGUCAACCUUUCCGAGCAACUGCUCACCUAGGAAUGCCGUCCCUCCAUCAGUUAACACCUGGUAUCGAGAAGGUUGGUCUCCAUAAAGAUGUUAUAUUUGACAAGGGCUGUGGUACAUCUAGGCCUGCUUUACUUGGAAGCAGUUCACCUCAACCUGGGCAACUUUCCCCAAUCAAGGACGAGCCUUGGAUAACUUCAGUGCCUUUUGUACCUCUUGUUGAUUUUCCUGGCAGCACAUCACCUUCAUAUAGUCAAUAUGACCCGCUUGUUGACAGUAUGGACCUUUCCAAAGUUAAAGGUAUUAAUAUUCUCAAGUCCUCGAACAUAUCUUGCAGCACUUCAAGUCAGCACACUACUGGGAAUGUUGUUAUAGAUGGAGAUACCAACAAGUCAAUGAAUUACGAUGACAAAUUGGCAAGGAAUAUGUCAGCCAAAGGGUCAAAUGAGUUUGCAGGCCUUGUUGCACCUGAUAGGGAACGCUCUGGUCUGGAUGGUGAUACUAUGGUGAAAGCUUCUGAAAGAGAAAAUGAUGCAGCAAUUACUGAGAAAACAAGAGAUUUUCGUUUUCAUUUGGCAGAACAUGUGAAGGAGUUGCUGAAACCAUUUUGGAAAGAAGGCAAUCUGAAUAAAGAUGCUCAUAAACUGAUAGUGAAAAAAUCCGUCGAUAAAGUUCUUGCUUCAGUUGAGCUGCAUCAAGUACCAGCUACUAAAGAAUUGAUAACUGAUUAUAUAACCAUGGCUGGAACAAAGAUUGAAAAACUUGUGAAGGCAUAUGUUGAUAAGCAUCGUAUGAAAUGAGAUCCAAAUUAUGAGCUACACCACCAUAGACAUGGGGUUUCAGCCAGAUGCCUUUCCAAUGUGAUUAAUCUACAGUGCAAUGUUGUUAGACCCGAUCAGUUUUUGUGGGCAUAGUAGAUAUUUCCUAGUAAGAUUGGCGGAGCUAAAAGGAGGAACAAACAUGAUAUGUGCUGGAGGUAGCUCAAUCACUUGUUUCCAUAAGUGGGCACUUCUCCAUAGAUUGGCGGAGCUAAAAGGAGGAACAAACAUGAUAUGUGCUGGAGAUGCCAUCAAGAUUGCUUAGGAUGAAGAUUAUAUGGAAGAGCUUUGUCAAAAACGAGUUCAUUACAUCGCCAAAGCCACCUGAAGUGAAGUGGACUCAGGGAAGCCUUAAUUUUUGCUUCUUUAAGGAUGCCAGAUAUUAAGGUUGUCCUUUGUGCCUGUUGCUUUCCUCAUUUUAUCAUCACUGAUGAAAUCAAUGAGAGCUAGCAUAACAUGAAUGCAGGAUCUUAAAAUGGCUACAGACAAAGAUGCGCAUUUCACGGUUCUUCUGACAAAUUUCUACGGACCAAGCAACACGUUUGCUACUGCUCGCUGCUCAUUCGAGGACUUUUGUGGUCAAACUGUUCAUUAGCUCUAAAGCUAUCCGGAUUCAGGAUGUGCUCUUUUAUUCUGCAGAGUUUCUUUUUUAGUUAUGUUUCUGGGAGUUGGACGGUGCUGCUAGUCGAGAUGAUAUCUGAAAAAGAAACAUUCGGAUUCAAAGAAGUCUCGCUGUCUUGCUUCAUUUAUUCGUAUGCAUGUGACAUGAUCCGGGGGCAUUGAACACCAAAGCUAGUCCGGUGGCAGAUAUAGCUGUUUAUUGUGAAACUUCAGUGGAUGCUGCACUUGCAAUCUAUGACCAGGCGAAGCCCUGUUCGUUCUUUCUUUCUUUCAGAUUGGCACUGUGCACAUUGUGCAAAAACUGCAAACUGUAGUGCACAGAUCAAGCCCAAGCUCGUUUUGUUGUCUUAGUUGCCGUUGGUGCUGUGAAGCAUCAUCUGCUAUAACAGAGAUCGGUGGUGACGAUGUAUGCUGUUUUCAAGUCUGAGAGAUUGCUUCAGCUGUGAUCCUACUCCUAGUUAGCAGAUGUAAAUCGAAAUUCGCUGCUCCCUCCAGCCCAAAUUAUUUGGCGUGGCUAUAUACUAUGUUCAGUAUAAAUGUACUGUUAUGCCGUGUCAAUGAAUAACGGCUAGAGGGUGUACAUGUUUAUUGUUCAAUUGAAACGACCCCAGUCCAUUUA